Molecule: long non-coding RNA, 442 nt
Organism: Neogale vison (American mink)
Lineage: Eukaryota; Metazoa; Chordata; Mammalia; Carnivora; Mustelidae
Exons: 3
Source: RefSeq, a predicted model, not a curated record
CAGAAACCAAACCGGAUUUGCCUUUAACCCCCUCGGGCCUCUCCAUAUUGCUGAGAUACCCCUGCCUUCUCCAGAUACACGGGCAAAGCCUACUUCCCUGAAGCCAAAAGAGGCCCAAGGCAUGCACCAUAUUGGAGUCUGAGAGGUGGCGCAAUGAUCCCACAAAAGCAUCACCCCCACUUGUAAGACUCCGCAGUCCCAGUGUGAACCCUUGAAGGGCUUCACUUGGACCCCUACCUGUCUCUUUCCACUGCCCGUCCUCCUUUCCACUCCAGUGCUCCGGAUAUCGAGGUGCUGGGGAAGUUCUGGCUUUGGAGUCAUUCAGACCAGGAAGAAUGGGAGCCAGGUCACCUCCAUCUAUGACCCCAGCGCCCAGCACAUAUGAAGUUGUUAGUGAACAAUUCCUGAAUGAUUGAAUGAAUAAAUGAGUGCAGAACAGCAA